GGUGAGUAACGCGUGGGUAACCUGCCCUGUACACACGGAUAACAUACCGAAAGGUAUGCUAAUACGAGAUAAAAUGUAAUGAUCGCAUGGUCGAUACAUCAAAGCUCCGGCGGUACAGGAUGGACCCGCGUCUGAUUAGCUAGUUGGUGAGGUAAUGGCUCACCAAGGCGACGAUCAGUAGCCGACCUGAGAGGGUGAUCGGCCACAUUGGAACUGAGACACGGUCCAAACUCCUACGGGAGGCAGCAGUGGGGAAUAUUGCACAAUGGGCGAAAGCCUGAUGCAGCAACGCCGCGUGAGCGAUGAAGGCCUUCGGGUCGUAAAGCUCUGUCCUCAAGGAAGAUAAUGACGGUACUUGAGGAGGAAGCCCCGGCUAACUACGUGCCAGCAGCCGCGGUAAUACGUAGGGGGCUAGCGUUAUCCGGAUUUACUGGGCGUAAAGGGUGCGUAGGCGGUCUUUCAAGUCAGGAGUGAAAGGCUACGGCUCAACCGUAGUAAGCUCUUGAAACUGUAAGACUUGAGUGCAGGAGAGGAGAGUGGAAUUCCUAGUGUAGCGGUGAAAUGCGUAGAUAUUAGGAGGAACACCAGUUGCGAAGGCGGCUCUCUGGACUGUAACUGACGCUGANGCACGAAAGCGUGGGGAGCAAACAGGAUUANAUACCCUGGUANUCCACGCC
RNAcentral lists this ribosomal RNA (677 nucleotides) under uncultured bacterium. RNAcentral describes it as "bacterial SSU rRNA". It matches the Rfam family "Bacterial small subunit ribosomal RNA", at positions 105 to 801 of the family's 1533-position model. The record is from RNAcentral.